Molecule: long non-coding RNA, 1169 nt
Filed under: Homo sapiens (human)
Lineage: Eukaryota; Metazoa; Chordata; Mammalia; Primates; Hominidae
Description: HSALNT0399364
Source: RNAcentral
ACCGCUCUCCAAGGACUCUCGAGCAGCUCCAUCUACAGAUUCACAUGGAGAAGAAUUAAGGGUUCCUGCCAAUCACCAGCACCACUUUGCCAGCCUUGUAAGUGGGCCACCUUGGAAUUGGAGCCUCCAGUUCCUACUGACAUCUGACUGCAACAUCAUGAGAGACCCUGAGUUUGAACCACCCAGCUGAGCUGCUUCUGAGCUAACCCACUGAAACCGUGAAAGUACCUGAAUGAAACAACACCCAGUAGCCACUAGCACACCUAGCUCCCAGAUCUGUUUUUGAUGCCAUUCUUCAGUAAAAGGAAGCAAGGCUGCUUGGAGAAAUUGCUAUCAAGGACUGGGGUAGAAAAUAUACAAGAUGAAAUUGGAGCAUCUUGUAGUGCUUGAAAACAGUUGGCAUCUGUGUGAAGAUGUGAAUGGAGGAGGCAGAGUAGGCAGUGAGUGCCGCAGCCACAGCUUGUGUUCUCUGCAGCCCUGGCACAGAAGAUAGGAACACUCAUGGGGGAUGCGGCCACUGUGAUGUCUUCCCACACAAGAAGUGCCAAGUGCUUUUCUCAUGCUUUUCUGGAUUGUCCCAUGGUGGACGAGUCAGCAGGAGUGAGAUGGAGCAGCACAGUAGAGGGGUACCUGGCAAGGCCCGGAGGGAGGACCCCCUGCCCCAAACAUUUCAAUGAUAUCAGGUUCCUUAGAUCCUGGGAUGAGGAGGUGGACCAGCAGAAGGUGGGCUUGUGAAGGCAGCCCGGGGUCCAAAUCCUCCUGGCUCUUCAGCUUAGCGGGAUGUCACCUUCAGCGUCUGAAAGCUGGGUUUGAUGCGUCUGGAAAGGCGUCCCUGACAGGCGUCGUUGCCAGGAGCCCCUAGUGCCACCAGCAGCCAGCAGGGGAGGGCGUCCUCUGCCCGCUCACUUCUGACCCUUCUCUCGUUGCACCCGGAACAUGGUGCAGCUGGGAGCAGCCUGGGCUGCGCGGAAGGCUCAGAUUUGGGGACGGCCCUUGCCAGUGACUGUGAGCUGGGGUGUCUUGGAAACUCCCAGUCUCAGCUUCUCCAUUUAUAAGAUGAGAAUGAUCAUACCAGACUCAGGCAAGGUUGUUUGUGCAUUAGUGAAAUCAGACGUAUUAAAUAAAGUACCACAUUGAUCGUGGAGUUGUUGAAUAACCAAGAACACGCC